CCUACGGGGGGCAGCAGUAGGGAAUCUUCCACAAUGGGCGAAAGCCUGAUGGAGCAACGCCGCGUGGGUGAAGAAGGUCUUCGGAUCGUAAAACCCUGUUGUUAGAGAAGAAAGUGCGUGAGAGUAACUGUUCACGUUUCGACGGUAUCUAACCAGAAAGCCACGGCUAACUACGUGCCAGCAGCCGCGGGAAUACGUAGGUGGCAAGCGUUAUCCGGAUUUAUUGGGCGUAAAGGGAACGCAGGCGGUCUUUUAAGUCUGAUGUGAAAGCCUUCGGCUUAACCGGAGUAGUGCAUUGGAAACGGGGAGACGUGAGGGCAGAAGAGGAGAGUGGAACUCCAUGUGUAGCGGUGAAAUGCGUAGAUAUAUGGAAGAACACCAGUGGCGAAAGCGGCUCUCUGGUCUGUAACUGACGCUGAGGUUCGAAAGCGUGGGUAGCAAACAGGAUUAGAUACCCCAGUAGUC
Molecule: ribosomal RNA, 465 nt
Filed under: uncultured bacterium
Lineage: Bacteria
Description: partial 16S ribosomal RNA
Rfam family: Bacterial small subunit ribosomal RNA
Source: RNAcentral